RNAcentral lists this ribosomal RNA (428 nucleotides) under uncultured bacterium. RNAcentral describes it as "bacterial SSU rRNA". It matches the Rfam family "Bacterial small subunit ribosomal RNA", at positions 355 to 776 of the family's 1533-position model. The record is from RNAcentral.
UGGGGAAUAUUGGACAAUGGGCGAAAGCCUGAUCCAGCAAUGCCGCGUGUAUGAUGAAGGCCUGCGGGUUGUAAAGUACUUUCGUUGGGGAAGAAAUGCUCAAAGCUAAUAUCUUUGAGAGUUGACGUUACCCAAAGAAGAAGCACCGGCUAACUCUGUGCCAGCAGCCGCGGUAAUACAGAGGGUGCAAGCGUUAAUCGGAGUUACUGGGCGUAAAGGGCGCGUAGGCGGGCUCUUAAGUCGGAUGUGAAAUCCCCGGGCUUAACCUGGGAAUUGCAUUCGAUACUGGGAGCCUAGAGUAUGGUAGAGGAAAGCGGAAUUCCCGGUGUAGCGGUGAAAUGCGUAGAUAUCGGGAAGAACAUCAGGGCGAAGGCGGCUUUCUGGCCCAAUACUGACGCUGAGGCGCGAAAGCGUGGGGAGCAAACAGG